RNAcentral lists this unclassified non-coding RNA (220 nucleotides) under Hevea brasiliensis (rubber tree). The record is from RNAcentral. Lineage: Eukaryota; Viridiplantae; Streptophyta; Magnoliopsida; Malpighiales; Euphorbiaceae.
GGGGUCGUACUUCCUAAGACAGAGGAUAGAUCGAACCCUGCGACCUCCGCGAGACUGGCUCUGGUCUUUUAGAUGUCUUGAAAUAAUUCUUUGCAGACAUUGAGCAACCAUCUCCAGCUUUGAGGCAAGACUCUCCAUUUUCUCACUGAAGGUCCGGUACGUUCCAGGCCAGACCUUUUCCAACACGCUCUCCGUCUCCGAGCUCCGCCGCCAAUCCCAA